This 253-nucleotide ribosomal RNA is filed under the name uncultured Zoogloea sp. RNAcentral's name for it is "partial 16S ribosomal RNA". It matches the Rfam family "Bacterial small subunit ribosomal RNA", at positions 524 to 776 of the family's 1533-position model. The record is from RNAcentral. Lineage: Bacteria; Pseudomonadati; Pseudomonadota; Betaproteobacteria; Rhodocyclales; Zoogloeaceae.
UACGUAGGGUGCGAGCGUUAAUCGGAAUUACUGGGCGUAAAGCGUGCGCAGGCGGUUUCGCAAGUCAGAUGUGAAAGCCCCGGGCUCAACCUGGGAACUGCGUUUGAAACUACGAAGCUAGAGUACGGCAGAGGGAGGUGGAAUUCCAAGUGUAGCAGUGAAAUGCGUAGAUAUUUGGAGGAACACCGAUGGCGAAGGCAGCCUCCUGGGCUAGUACUGACGCUCAUGCACGAAAGCGUGGGGAGCAAACAGG